Molecule: long non-coding RNA, 16661 nt
Organism: Pongo pygmaeus (Bornean orangutan)
Lineage: Eukaryota; Metazoa; Chordata; Mammalia; Primates; Hominidae
Exons: 10
Source: RefSeq, a predicted model, not a curated record
GCCCUGCACUGCACUGUGGCCAUGGGCAGUGCUCCAGGCCUGCUUGGUGUGGACAUGGUGGUGAGCCGUGGCAAGGACCAGAAUGGAUCACAGAUGAUCGUUGGCCAACAGGUGGCAGAAGAGGAAUUCCUGCCUUCCUCAAGAGGAACACCUACCCCUUGGCUAAUGCUGGGGUCGGAUUUUGAUUUAUAUUUAUCUUUUGGAUGUCAGUCAUACAGUCUGAUUUUGUGGUUUGCUAGUGUUUGAAUUUAAGUCUUAAGUGACUAUUAUAGAAAUGUAUUAAGAGGCUUUAUUUGUAGAAUUCAUUUUAAUUAUAUUUAAUGAGUUUUUGUUUUGAGUUCCUUAAAAUUCCUUAAAGUUUUUAGCUUCUCGUUACAAAUUCCUUAACCUUUUUUUGGCAGUAGAUAGUCAAAGUCAAAUCAUUUCUAAUGUUUUAAAAAUGUGCUGGUUAUUUUCUUUGAAAUUGACUUAACUAUUUUCCUUUGGAUUUUGAAGAGUCUGUAGCACAGAAACAGUAAAAAAUUUAACUUCAUGACCUAAUGUAAAAAAGUGUUUGAAGGUUUACACAGGUCCAGGCCUUGCUUUGUUCCCAUCCUUGAUGCUGCACUAAUUGACUAAUCACCUACUUAUCAGACAGGAAACUUGAAUUGCUGUGGUCUGGUGUCCCCUAUUCAUACUUAUUAUAUUGGAGUAUUUCAAUUUUUGGUUAUAUCCUGCCUGCCUAGCAUCCAGUUCCUCCCCAGCCCUGCUCCCAGCAAACCCCUAGUCUAGCCCCAGCCCUUCUCCCACCCCGCCCCAGCCCUGCCCCAGCCCCAGUCCCCUAAGCCCCCAGCCCUAGCCCCAGUCCCAGUCCUGGUUCCUCAGUCCCGCCCAGCUUUUCUUGAAAGUCACUCUAAUUUUCAUUGAUUCAGUGCUCAAAAUAAGUUGUCCAUUGCUUAUCCUAUUAUAUUGGGAUAUUCUGUUUACCCUUGGCAUUGCUGAUCUUCAGUACUGACUCCUUGACCAUUUUCAGUUAAUGCAUACAAUCCCAUUUGUCUGUGAUCUCAGAACAAAGAAUUUCCUUACUCGGUACGUUAAGGUUAGGGAAUGUCAAUUGAGAGCUUUCUAUCAGAGCAUUAUUGCCCACAAUUUGAGUUACUUAUCAUUUUCUCGAUCCCCUGCCCUUAAAGGAGAAACCAUUUCUCUGUCAUUGCUUCUGUAGUCACAGUCCCAAUUUUGAGUAGUGAUCUUUUCUUGUGUACUGUGUUGGCCACCUAAAACUCUUUGCAUUGAGUAAAAUUCUAAUUGCCUAUAAUCCUACCCAUUGGAUUACACAGCACUCUGAACCCCAUUUGCAUUCAGCAGGGGGUCGCAGACAACCCGUCUUUUGUUGGACAGUUAAAAUGCUCAGUCCCAAUUGUCAUAGCUUUGCCUAUUAAACAAAGGCACCCUACUGCGCUUUUUGCUGUGCUUCUGGAGAAUCCUGCUGUUCUUGGACAAUUAAAGAACAAAGUAGUAAUUGCUAAUUGUCUCACCCAUUAAUCAUGAAGACUACCAGUCGCCCUUGCAUUUGCCUUGAGGCAGUGCUGACUACCUGAGAUUUAAGAGUUUCUUAAAUUAUUGAGUAAAAUCCCAAUUAUCCAUAGUUAUGUUAGUUACACUAUGGUCUUUGCAAACAUCUCUGCGUAACAGCAGUGGGACUGACUCAUUCUUAGAGCCCCUUCCCUUAGAAUGUUAAUGGAUACAAUAGUAAUUAUUCAUAGUUCUGUGUAACAGAAAAGACCCACUUAUGUAUAUGCCCUUAUCAUUGCUCCUAGGUAGUGUGAACUACCUACCACCACCUUCCAUUAAUAUGUAAAACACUAAUUGCCCAUAGUCCCACUCAUUGGUCUAGGAUGUCCCCUUUGCCAUUGCUGCUGAGUUCUGACUACCCAAGUUUCCUUCUCUUAAACAGUUGAUAUGCAUAAUUGCAUAUAUUCAUGGUUCUGUGCAAUAAAAAUGGAUUCUCACCCCAUCCCACCUUCUGUGGGAUGUUGCUAACGAGUGCAGAUUAUUCCGUAACAGCUCUUGGACAGUUAAUUUGCACAGUUGCAAUUGUCCAGAGUCCUGUCCAUUAGAAAGGGACUCUGUAUCCUAUUUGCACGCUACAAUGUGGGCUGAUCACCCAAGGACUCUUCUUGUGCAUUGACGUUCAUAAUUGUAUUUGUCCACGAUCUUGUGCACUAACCCUUCCACUCCCUUUGUAUUCCAGUAGGGGACCCUUACUACUCAAGACCUCUGUACUAGGACAGUUUAUGUGCACAAUCCUAAUUGAUUAGAACUGAGUCUUUUAUAUUAAGGUCCCUGCAUCAGCUUUGCUUUACAUCAAGAGGGUGCUGGUUACCUAAUGCCCCUCCUCCAGAAAUUAUUGAUGUGCAAAAUGCAAUUUCCCUAUCUGCUGUUAGUCUGGGGUCUCAUCCCCUCAUAUUCCUUUUGUCUUACAGCAGGGGGUACUUGGGACUGUUAAUGCGCAUAAUUGCAAUUAUGGUCUUUUCCAUUAAAUUAAGAUCCCAACCGCUCACACCCUCUUAGCAUUACAGUAGAGGGUGCUAAUCACAAGGACAUUUCUUUUGUACUGUUAAUGUGCUAGUUGCGUUUGUCCCUCUUCCUGUGCACUAAAGACCCCACUCACUUUCCUAGUGUUCAGCAGUGGAUGACCUCUAGUCAAGACCUUUGCACUAGGAUAGUUAAUGUGAACCAUGGCAACUGAUCACAACAAUGUCUUUCAGAUCAGAUCCAUUGUAUCCUCCUUGUUUUACAGCAAGGGAUAUUAAUUACCUAUGUUACCUUUCCCUGGGACUAUGAAUGUGCAAAAUUCCAAUGUUCAUGGUCUCUCCCUUUAAACCUAUAUUCUACCCCUUUUACAUUAUAGAAAGGGAUGCUGGCAACCCAAAGUCCUUCUCUUGGGACUCUUAAUGUGUAUUUUUAAUUGUCCAUGACUCUUAAUGUGCAUAUUUUCAAUUGUCUAAUUGAUUUCAAUUGUCUAAGACAUUUCAAAUGUCUAAUUGAUUAGAACUGAGUCUUUUAUAUCAAGCUAAUAUCUAGCUUUUAUAUCAAGCUAAUAUCUUGACUUCUCAGUAUCAUAGAAGGGGGUACUGAUUUCCUAAAGUCUUUCUUGAACUUUAUUAUGCAAAAUUGCCCUGAGGCCGGAUGUGGUGGCUCACACCUGUAAUCCCAGCACUUUGGGCGGCUGAGGUGGGAAGAUCCCUUACUGCUAGGAGUUUGAGACCAGCCUGGCCAACAUUAAAAAGAAAAAAAGUAAAACAAUUGCCCUGGAAUCCCAUCCCCCUCACACCUCCUUGGCAUAGCAGCAGGAGUGCUAACUAGCUAGUGCUUCUUCUCUUAUACUGCUUAAAUGCGCAUAAUUAACAGUAGUUGAUGUGCCCCUAUGUUAGAGUAGAAUCCCGCUUUCUUGCUCCAUUUGCAUUACUGCAGGAGCUUCUAACUAGCCUGAAUUCACUCUCUUGGACUGUUAAUGUGCAUAAUUACAUUUGCUGCUGUACUUUUUUACCAUGUAAGGACCCCACCCACUGUAUUUACAUCCCAGCUGGAAGUACCUACUACUUAAGAACCUUAGACUAGUAAAGUUAGCGUGCAUAAUCUUAGUUGUUAUAUACACAUUUUCAGUUGUAUACAGUUGUGCCUUUUAUCAGGACUCCUGUACUUAUCAAAGCAGAGAGUGCUAAUCAACAUUAAGCCCUUCUCUUCGGACUGUAGAUGCAUGUAAUUGCAGUUGUCAAUGGUCCUUCAAUUAGACUUGGGUUUCUGACCUAUCACACCCUCUUUGCUUUAUUGCAUGGGGUGCUAUUCAGUUAAGGCCCCUUUCUCAGACUGUUAAUGUGCCUAAUGACAAUUACAUCAGGAUCCUUCCUUUCGAAGGACAGCAUGGUUGGUGACACCUAAGGCCCCAUUUCUUGGCCUCCCAAUAUGUGUGAUUGUAUUUGUCGAGAUUGCUAUGCACUAGAGAAGGAAAGUGCUCCCCUCAUCCCCACUUUUCCCUUCCAGCAGGAAGUGCCCACCCCGUAAGACCCUUUUAUUUGGAGAGUCUAGGUGCACAAUUGUAAGUGACCACAAACAUGCCUCUUGGACAUUUAUGUGCGUAAUCGCACACUGCUCAUUCCAUGUGAAUAAGGUCCUACUCUCCGACCCCUUUUGCAAUACGGAAGGGUUGCUGAUAACCAAGUCCCCUUUUCUUGGCAUGUUAUGUGUGAUUAUAAUUGUCUGGGAUCCUAUGCACUAGAAAAGGAGGGUCCUCUCCACAUACCUCAGUCUCACCUUUCCCUUCCAGGAGGGAGUGCCCGCUCCAUAAGACUCUCACAUUUGGACAGUCAAGGUGCGUAAUUGUUAAGUGAACACAACCAUGCACCUUAGACAUGGAUUUGCAUAACUACACACAGCUCAUCCUAUCUGAAUAAAAUCCUACUCCCAGACCCCUUUUGCAGUACAGCAGGGGUGCUGAUCACCAAGGCCCCUGUUCCUGGCCUGGUACGCGUGUGAUUAUGUUUGUCCCGGUUCCUGUGUAUUAGACAUGGAAGCCUCCCCUGCCACACUCCACCCCCAAUCUUCCUUUCCCUUCUGGCAGGGAGUGCCCCCUCCGUAAGACGCUUACGUUUGGACAAUCAAGGUGCACAGUUGUAAGUGACCACAGGCAUGCACCUUGGACAUUAAUGUGCAUAACUGCACUUUGCCCAUUCCAUCUGAAUAAGGUCCUACUCUCAGACCCCUUUUGCAGUACAGCAGGGGUGCUGAUCACCAAGGCCCCUUUUCUUGGCCUGUUAUGUGCGUGAUUAUAUUUGUCUGGGUUCCUGUGUAUUAGACAAGGAAGCCUGCCCCCCCGCCCCCCGCCCCCACUCCCAGUCUUCCUUUCCCUUCCAGCAGGGAGUGCCCCCUCCAUAAGAUCAUUACAUUUGGACAGUCAAGGUGCACAAUUAUAAGUGACCACAGCCACGCACCUUGGACAUUAAUGUGCGUAACUGCACAUGGCCCAUCCCAUCUGAAUAAGGUCCUACUCUCAGAUACCCUUUGCAGUACAGCAGGGGUACUGAAUCACCAAGGCCCUUUUUCUUGGCCUGUUAUGUGUGUGAUUAUAUUUGUCCCGGUUUCUGUGUAAUAGACAUGAAAGCCUCCACUGCCACACCCCACCUCCAAUCUUCCUUUCCCUUCCAGCAGGAAGUGUCCACUCCGUAAACCCUUACAUUUGGACAAUCAAGGUGCACAAUUGUGAGUGAUCAUAGGCACGCACCUUGGACAUUAAUGUGCAUAACUGCACAUGGCCCAUCCCAUCUGAAUAAGGUCCUACUCUCAGACCCUUUUUGCAGUACAGCAGGGGUGCUGAUCACCAAGGCCCCUUUUCCUGGCCUGUUAUGUGUGUGAUUAUAUUUGUUCCAGUUCUUGUGUAAUAGACAUGGAAACCUCCCCUGCCACACUCCACCCCCAAUCUUCCUUUCCCUUCCGGCAGGGAGUACCCGUUCCAUAAGACCCUUACAUUUGGACAGUCAAGGUGCACAAUUGUAUGUGACCACAACCACGCACCUUGGACAUAAAUGUGUGUAACUGCACAUGGCCCAUCCCAUCUGAAUGAGGUCCUACUCUCAGACCCCUUUUGCAGUACAGUAGGGGUGCUGAUAACCAAGGCCCCUUUUCCUGGCCUGUUAACGUAUGUGAUUAUAUUUGUCUGGGUUCCAGUGUAUAAGACGUGGAAGCCUCCCCUGCCCCACCCCACCCUCAAUCUUCCUUUCCCUUUUGGCAGGGAGUGCCCCCUCCAUAAGAACCUUACAUUUGGACAGUCAAGGUGCACAAUUGUAAGUGACCGCAGCCAUGCACCUUGGUCAAUAAUGUGCGUAACUGCACACGGCCUAUCUCAUCUGAACAAGGCCCUACUCUCAGACCCCUUUUGCAGUACAGCAGGGGUGCUGAUAACCAAGGCCCAUUUUCCUGGCCUGUUAUGUGUGUGAUUAUAUUUGUCCAGGUUUCUGUGUACUAGACAAGGAAGCCUCCUCUGCCCCACCCCACCUACCCGUAAUCUUUCUUUUCCUCCCAGCAGCGAGUGCUCACUCCAUAAGACCCUUACAUUUGGACAAUCAAGGUGCACAAUUGUAAGUGACCACAACCAUGCAUCUUGGAAAUUUAUGUGCAUAACUGCACAUGGCUUAUCCUAUUUGAAUGAGGUCUUACUCUCAGACCUCCUUUGCAGUAUAGCUGGGGUGCUGAUCACUAAGGUCUCUUUUCUUGGCUCGUCUAUAUUCUUGUGUACUAGAUAAGGGCACCUCAUGGACUCCCUUUGCUUUUCAACAAGGAGUACCCACUACUUUUUAAUAUUCUUAUAUUUGUCCAAAGUACAUGGUUUUAAUUGACCACAACAAUGUCCCUUGGACAUUAAUGUACGUAAUCACCGCAUGGUUCAUCCUAAUUAAACAAGAUCCUACCCUCUCACCCUCCAUUUGCAGUAUACCAGGGUUGCUGACCCCCUAAGUCCCCUUUUCUUGGCGUGUUGACAUGCAUAAUUGCAUUUAUGUGGGUUCUUGUGCCCUAGACAAGGAUGUCCCACCUCUUUUCAGUAGUGGGUGCCCACUCCUUAUGAUCUUUACAUUUGAACAGUUAAUGUGAAUAAUUGCAGUUGUCCACAACCCUAUCACUUCUAGGACCACUGUACAUCUUUUACAUUACUGUGGGGUAUACUGUUUCCCUCCAAGGCCCCUUCUGGUGGACUAUCAACAUACAUAAUUGAAAUUUUCUUUUGUAUUUGUCAGUAGAUUAAAGUCAUACCCCAUCACCUUUCCUUUGUAGUACAGCAGGGUGUUCUGAUCAACCAAAGUCCUGUUGUUUUGGACUGUUAAUAUGUGCAAUUACAUUUGCUCCUGAUCUGUGCACUAGAUAAGGAUCCUACCUACUUUCUUAGCGUUUUUAGCAGGUAGUGCCCACUACUCAAGACUCUGUCACUUGGAAUGUUCAUGUGCACAAACACAAUUCUCUAAGCAUGUUCGUGUACCACCUUUGCUUCAGAGCAGAGGGAUGAUAUUCACUUAGUGCCCCUUCUUUUGGACUUAAUAUGCAUUAAUGCAAUUGUCCACCUCUUCUUUUAGACUAAGAGUUGAUCUCCACAUAUUCCCCUUGCAUCAGGGGCAUGUUAAUUAUGAAUGAACCCUUUUCUUUUAAUAUUAAUGUCAUAAUUGUAUUUGUGGACCUGUGUAGUAGAAAAAGACCCUAUGUUCCUCCCAUUACCCUUUGGAUUGCUGCUGAGAAGUGUUAACUACUCAUAAUCUCAGCUCUUGGACAAUUAAUAGCAUUAAUAACAGUUAUCAAGGGCACUGAUCAUUAGAUAAGACUCCUGCCUCCUCGUUGCAUACAUCGGGGGUACUGACCCACUAAGGCCCCUUGUACUGUUAACGUGAAUAUUUGCAAUUAUACAUGUCUCCUUCUGUUAAGAGUGGGAUAUUAUGCCCUAGUAUCCCCUUUGCAUUACUGCAGGGGCUGCUGACUACUCAAAACUUCUCCUGGGACUGUUAAUAGGCACAAUGGCAGUUAUCAAUGGUUUUUUCCCUCCCUGACCUUGUUAAGCAAGCACCCUACCCACCCUUAGUUUCCCAUGGUAUAAUAAAGUAUAAGCAUUGGAGUAUUCCAUGCCCUUGUCCAUCAAACAGUGGUCCAUACUCCCACCCCUUUUGCAUUGCACCAGUGUGUAAAAUCACAGGUAGCCAUGGUGUCAUGCUUUAUAUACGAAGUCUUCCCUCUCUCUGCCCUUUGUGUGCCCUUGGCCCCUUUUUACAGACUAUUGCUCACAAUCUCAGGUGUCCAUAUAUCCAGCUAUUAGAUAAGAUUGUGCUGUCUCCCUCCUCCCUUCCCUCCGCCCUGCCCCUUUUGCCUCUUUGCUGGGUAAUGUUGACCGGACAAGGUCCUUUCUCUUGGACUUAAACAAUUCUCAGUUGCACUUUCCUUGGUCCCACCCAUUAUACACGAACCCCUCUACUUCCUUUCGCAUUGCUUCUGAGUAUGCUGACUACCCAAAGCCCCUUCUGUGUUAUUAAUAAACACAGUACUGAUUGUCCCAUUUUUCAGCCCAUCAGUCGAAGAUCUCCCUACCACUUUGGUGUGUUUGUGCAGUGUUGACUAUGAAAAGCAGGCCUGAACUAGGUGGAUAAGCCUUCACUCAUUUUCUUUUAUUUAUUAAUGAUCCUAGUUUCAAUUAUUGUCAGAUUCUGGGGGCAAGAACCAUUCUUGCCCACCUGUGUUACUGCUUUACUGUGCAAAAUACUCAAGGCAAGUCAGACCCAGGGAGCGGGAUUGCCAUCCUUUAUUUUGUGUUUCCAGUAUACACUAUCAAAUUGUCUCCCCAGGAAGAAAGGUUGGCACUUUCUCUGCAUUCUUCUUUCCAGAGCAGAUUGCCUGGUUAAGAAUCUAUUGUUGUCCCCUUUGUAUAUUGUUAUUGUAAAGUGCCAAAUGCCAGGAUACAGCCAGAAAAAUUGCUGUUAUUAUUAUUAAAAAAUUUUUUUUAAGAAAGACAUCUGGAUUGUAGGGUGGACUCGAUAACCUGGUCAUUAUUUUUUUGAAGCCAAAAUAUCCAUUUAUACUAUGUACCUGGUGACCAGUGUCUCAUUUUAACUGAGGGUGGUGGGUCUGUGGAUAGAACACUGACUCUUGCUAUUUUAAUAUUAUCAAAGACGUUCUAGAGUGGAACUCUUAAGACCAGUAUCUUUGUGUGGGCUUUACCAGCAUUCACUUUUAGAAAAACUACCUAAAUUUUAUAAUCCUUUAAUUUCUUCAUCUGGAGCACCUGCCCCUACUUAUUUCAAGAAGAUUGCAGUAAAAUGAUUAAAUGAGGGAACAUAUGCAGAGGUGCUUUAAAAAAGCAUAUGCCACCUUUUUUAUUAAUUAAUCUAUUAUAUAAAAUGAAGCAUUUAAUUAUAGUAAUAAUUUGAAGUAGUUUGAAGUACCACACUGAGGUGAGGACUUAAAAAUGAUAAGACGAGUUCCCUAUUUUAUAAGAAAAAUAAGCCAAAAUUAAAUAUUCUUUUGGAUAUAAAUUUCAACAGUAGAUAGCUGCCUAGUGGAAAUGAAUAAUAUCCCAGCCACUAGUGUACAGGGUGUUUUGUGGCACAGGAUUAUGUAAUAUGGAACUGCUCAAGCAAAUAACUAGUCAUCACAACAGCAGUUCUUUGUAAUAACUGAAAAAGAAUAUUGUUUCUCGGAGAAGGAUGUCAAAAGAUCGGCCCAGCUCAGGGAGCAGUUUGCCCUACUAGCUCCUCGGACAGCUGUAAGAAGAGUCUCUGGCUCUUUAGAAUACUGAUCCCAUUGAAGAUACCACGCUGCAUGUGUCCUUAGUAGUCAUGUCUCCUUAGGCUCCUCUUGAAUCCCCAGGCAACAAAACUAGAACAUUUGCCACUGAUCUGGCAACGUGGUCCUAUAUUAUGAGAGUUUUGCUCUUUCGCCCAGGCUGGAGUGAAGUGGCACGAUCUCGACUCACUGCAACCUCCUUCCCCCAUGAUCAAGCAAUUCUUCUGCCUCAGCCUCCCAAGUAGCUGGGAUUACAGGCGCCCGCCACCACGCCCGGCUAAUGACAUUCUGAGCAUGUGAGACCUGAGGACUGCAAACAGCUGUCAGAGGCUCCAAAUUCAGCAUAUCUUUCCUUUUGAGAAUCUGGCCAAGCUCCAGCUAAUCUACUUGGAUGGGUUGCCAGCUAUCUGGAGAAAAAGGUUGGUAGCCAGACUAUAACAGCUGUGCACAACUGUAAAUGUCCACUCUUCAAUCCACAUGAAGAAAAGGAUCUUCCUCAGAAGAAUAGGCUUGUUGCUUUACAGUGUUAGUGAUCCAUUCCCUUUGACGAUCCCUAGGUGGAGAUGGGGCAUGAGGAUCCUCCAGGGGAAAAGCUCACUACCACUGGGCAACAACCCUAGGUCAGGAGGUUCUGUCAAGAUACUUUCCUGGUCCCAGAUAGGAAGAUAAAGUCUCAAAAACAACCACCACAAGUCAAGGAGAACAUGGACAACUGUCACAUCAGUGACUUUGAUCACAUGGGCAAAUCAUUCUGUUCCAUGUAGUCCCCAAAGUCUCUCUUAAAGCCUUACAGAAGAACUUUGCCAAUCAUUUACAUACUUCAGGAUGGCUUGGGAUGCCAUGGGAUAUAACACAACAAGUGAGAGCUCUUCAUUGUUCCUAUCUGCCAAAUCAUUAUACUUCCUACAAGCGGUGCGGAGAGCUGAGUCUUCAGCAGGUCCAAGAAAUUUGAACACACUGAAGGAAGUCAGCCUUCCCACCUGAAGAUCAACGUGCCUGGCACUCUAGCACUUUAGGAUAGCUGAAUGAAUGUGUAUUUCUUUGUCUCUUUCUUCCUUGUCUUUGCUCUUUGUUCUCUAUCUAAAGUGUGUCUUACCCAUUUCCAUGUUUCUCUUGCUAAUUUCUUUCAUGUGUGCCUUUGCCUCAUUUUCUCUUUUUGUUCACAAGAGUGGUCUGUGUCUUGUCUUAGACAUAUCUCUCAUUUUUCAUUUUGUUGCUGUUUCUGUUUGCUCUCCUAGAUGUGGCUCUUCUUUCACGCUUUAUUUCAUGUCUCCUUUUUGGGUCACAUGCUGUGUGCUUUUUGUCUUUUUCUUGUUCUGUCUACCUCUCCUUUCUCUGCCUACCUCUCUUUUCUCUUUGUGAACUGUGAUUACUUGUUACCCCUUCCCCUUCUUGUUCGUUUUAAAUUUCACCUUUUUUCUGAGUCUGGCCUCCUUUCUGCUGUUUCUACUUUUUAUCUCACAUUUCUCGUUUCUGCAUUUCCUUUCUGCCUCUCUUGGGCUAUUUUCUCUCUCCUCCCCUGCGUGCCUCAGCAUCUCUUGCUGUUUGUGAUUUUCUAUUUCAGUAUUAAUCUCUGUUGGCUUGUAUUUCUUCUCUGCUUCUUCCCUUUCUACUCACCUUUGAGUAUUUCAGCCUCUUCAUGAAUCUAUCUCCCUCUCUUUGAUUUCAUGUAAUCUCUCCUUAAAUAUUUCUUUGCAUAUGUGGGCAAGUGUACGUGUGUGUGUGUCAUGUGUGGCAGAGGGGCUUCCUAACCCCUGCCUGAUAGGUGCAGAACGUCGGCUAUCAGAAUAAGCAUUGUGGAGCGAUUCCUUAUGCCAGGCUGCCACGUGAGAUGAUCCAAGACCAAAACAAGGCCCUAGACUGCAGUAAAACCCAAAACUCGAGUAGGACAGAAGGUGGAAGGCUCAUAUGGGUAGAAGGCCCAGAGUAGAAGACAGAUGGUUUGAGACUUGAGACCCGAGGACUAAGAUGGAAAGCCCGUGUUCCAAGAUAGAUAGAAGCCUCAGGCCUGAAACCAACAAAAGCCUCAAGAGCCAAGAAAACAGAGGGUGGCCUGAAUUGGACCGAAGGCCUGAGUUGGAUGGAAGUCUCAAGGCUUGAGUUAGAAGUCUUAAGACCUGGGACAGGACACAUGGAAGGCCUAAGAACUGAGACUUGUGACACAAGGCCAAAGACCUAAGAUUAUCCCAGGGUUGUAGCUGGAAGACCUACAACCCAAGGAUGGAAGGCCCCUGUCACAAAGCCUACCUAGAUGGAUAGAGGACCCAAGUGAAACAGGUAUCUCAAGACUAAAGGCCGGAAUCUGGAGGCCCAUGACCCAGAACCCAGGAAGGAUAGAAGCUUGAAGACCUGGGGAAAUCCCAAGAUGAGAACCCUAAACUCUACCUCUUUUCUAUUGUUUACACUUCUUACUCUUAGAUAUUUCCAGUUCUCCUGUUUCUCUUUAAGCCUGAUUCUUUUGAGAUGUACUUUUUGAUGUUGCCAGUUACCUUUAGAUUGACAGUAUUAUGCCUGGGCCAGUCUUGAGCCAGCUUUAAAUCACAGCUUUUACCUAUUUGUUAGGCUAUAGUGUUUUGUAAACUUCUGUAUCUAUUCACAUCUUCUCCACUUGGGAGAGACACCAAAAUCCAGUCAGUAUCUAAUCUAAUCUGGCUUUUGUUAACUUCCCUCAGGAGCAGGCAUUUAUAUAGGUGAUACUGUAUUUCAGUCCUCUCUUUUAACCCCAGAAGCCCUAGACUGAGAAGAUAAAAUGGUCAGGUUGUUGGGGAAAAAAAAGUGCCAGGCUCUCUAGAGAAAAAUGUGAAGAGAUGCUCCAGGCCAAUGAGAAGAAUUAGACAAGAAAUACACAGAUGUACCAGACUUCCGAGAAGCACCUGCCAGCAACAGCUUCCUUCUUUGAGCUUAGGUGAGCAGGAUUCUGGGGUUUGGGAUUUCUAGUGAUAGUUAUGGAAAGGGUGACUGCCUGGGACAAAGCGAGGUCCCAAGGGGACAGCCUGAACUCCCUGCUCAUAGUAGUGGCCAAAUAAUUUGGUGGACUGUGCCAACCCUACUCCUGGGUUUAAUACCCAUCUCUAGGCUUAAAGGCGAGAGAACCUGGGACUAUUGAGCACAUUUAAUAUUUUCCUUGAUUUUUUUCUUCCUGUUUAUGUGGGAAGUUGAUUUAAAUGACUGAUAAUGUGUAUGAAAGCACUGUAAAACAUAAGAGAAAAACCAAGGCGUGCUCCUUAUUAGUGUAUUGGCAAUCAUGCAGUUAACAUUUGAAAGUGCAGUGUAAAUUGUGAAGCAUUAUGUAACUCGGGUCCACAGUUUUUCUGUAAGGGGUCAAAUCAUAAUACUUUAGACUGUGGGCCAUAUGGUUUCUGUUACAUAUUUGUUUUUUAAACAACCUUUCUAUAAGGUCGAAAUCAUUCUUAGUUUUUGAGCCAAUUGGAUUUGGCCUGCUGUUCAUAGCUUACCACCCCCGAUGUAUUAUUUGUUAUUCAGAGAAAAUUUCUGAAUACUACUAGUUUCCUUUUCUGUGUCUGUCCCUGUGCUAGGCACUAAAAAUGCAAUGAUUAUUGAUAUCUAGGUGACCUGAAAAAAAAUAGUGAAUGUGCUUUGUAAACUGUAAAGCACUUGUAUUCUACUGUGAUAAGCAUUGUGGAUACAAAGAAAGGAGCAAGCAUAAAAAAGUGCUCUUUCAAAAGGAAUAUAGUACUAUGCAGACACAAGGAAUUGUUUGAUGAAUGAAUAAAUUAUAUGUAUAUCUGAGGCCAAUUUGUGUUUGCUGCUCUGGUAAUUUUGAGUAAAAAUGCAGUAUUCCAGGUAUCAGAAACGAAAACACAUGGAAACUGCUUUUAAACUUUAAAAUAUACUGAAAACAUAAGGGACUAAGCUUGUUGUGGUCACCUAUAAUGUGCCAGAUACCAUGCUGGGUGCUAGAGCUACCAAAGGGGGAAAAAUAUUCUCAUAGAACAAAAAAUUUCAGAAAGGUGCAUAUUAAAGUGCUUUGUAAACUAAAGCACGAUACAAAUGUCAAUGGGCUACAUAUUUAUGAAUGAAUGAAUGAAUGGAUGAAUGAAUAUUAAGUGCCUCUUACAUCCCAGCUAUUUUGGGUACUGUAAAAUACAAGAUUAAUUCUCCUAUGUAAUAAGAGGAAAGUUUAUCCUCUAUACUAUUCAGAUGUAAGGAAUAAUAUAUUGCUUAAUUUUAAACAAUCAAGACUUUACUGGUGAGGUUAAGUUAAAUUAUUACCGAUACAUUUUCCCAGGUAACCAGGAAAGAGCUAGUAUGAGGAAAUGAAGUAAUAGAUGUGAGAUCCAGACCAAAAGUCACUUAAUUCAGCUUGCGAAUGUGCUUUCUAAAUUAUAAAGCACUUGUGAAUGAAAAAUUCGAUGCUUUCUGUAUGAAUAAAACUUUCUGUAAGCUAGGUAUUGUCUCUACAAAAUUCUCAUUGUAUAGUUAAACCACAGUGAGAAGGGUUCUAUAAGUAGUUAUACAAACCAAGGGUUUAAAUACCUGUUAAAUAGAGCAAUUUUGAUUGCCUACUAUGUGAACUCACUGUUAAAGGCACUGAAAAUUUAUCAUAUUUCAUUUAGCCAUGGCCAAAAAUAAGGCAAUACCUAUGUUAGCAUUUUGUGAACUCUAAGGCACCAUAUAAAUGUAACUGUUGAUUUUCUCACUUGGUGCUGAGUACUAGGUUUAUAAAAUUGUAUGCUAAUUAUAUUGUGCAAAUAAAGUAGGAAAAUUUGAAUAACAAUGAUUAUCUUUUGAAUACGCAUAUGCAAGGGAUUGGUUGUCUGAAGAAUGCCACUAUAGUAGUUAUCUAUUGUGUGCCAAUCUCAUUGCUAGGCAUUGGGGAUGUAAAGAUAAACCAUCUUUAUUGUGUCUUGGGUAGCAGAAGAAAAUAUGUGUAAAAUCAAUUUAUAAUUUCUAAACUGCCACCCAUAUAUAAGCAAUAUCUGCUGAAUGAUCAUCGAUUACUCUUAUCCUUAGAGAUAACAACUGGGGACACAAACAUUUAUUAUCAUUAUUGAACCUACAACAGAGAUCUAUGUGUAGAUUUACAAGCCUACAGUUCUAUACAGAUAGGAAUGAACUAUUGGCUUACUGAAUGGUGAUUACUUUCUGUGGGGCUCGGAACUACAUGCCCUAGGAUAUAAAAAUGAUGUUAUCAUUAUAGAGUGCUCACAGAAGGAAAUGAAGUAAUAGGUGUGAGAUCCAGACCAUAAGUCACUUAACAAGUUUAUUCAAUGAUGAAACCAUGGGACAAAAUGGACUAGUAUAAGGCAGUGUACUAAGCUAAGUAGAGAGAUAAAGUCCUGUCCAGAAGAUACAUGCUUCCUGGCGUGAUUGAGGAGAUGGAAAAUUUUUGCAAAAAACAAGGUGUUGUGGUCUUCCAUCCAGUUUCUUAAGUGCCGAUGAUAGAAGUGAAUUACCCACCUUGGCCUGGCCUACAGAAGUAAAGGAGUAAAAAUAAAUGCCUCAGGCUUGCUUUUUGAUUCAUUUGAUAAACAAAGCAUCUUUUAUGUGGAAUAUACCAUUCUGGGUCCUGAGGAUAAGAGAGAUGAGGGCAUUAGAUCACUGACAGCUGAAGAUAGAAGAACAUCUUUGGUUUGAUUGUAUAAAUAAUAUUUCAGUGCCUAUUCUCUGCAAGGUACUAUGUUUGGUAAAUUAGUAAAUUAAAUAGGUCUGGCCCAGAAGACCCACUCAAUUGCCUUUGAGAUUAAAAAAAAAAAAAGAAAGAAAGAAAAACGCAAGUUUCUUUCAAAAUAAAGAGACAUUUUUCCUAGUUUCAGGAAUCCCCCAAAUCGCUUGCUCAUUGGCUUAGUUUAAAGCCAGAAGACUGAUAAAAGGGCUCAGGGUUUGUUCUUUAAUUCAUUACCGAAACAUUCUGCUUUUAUUACAGUUAAAUGGUUCAAGAUGAAACAACUAGUUUUAAAGGUAUUUGCUCAUUGGUCAGGCUUAGAAACAGGAAGACAUUUGAGCAAUAAAAAAAAGAUUCUUUUGCAUUUACCAAUUUAGUAAAAAUUUAUUAAAACAAUAAAGUGCUGUUCUUAAGUGCCUGAAAGACCUAAACCAAAGUGCACUUUAUCUCAUUUAUCUUAUGGUGGAAACACAGGAACAAAUUCUCUAAGAGACUGUGUUUCUUUAGUUGAGAAGAAACUUCAUUGAGUGGCUGUGAUAUGUUCGAUACUAAGGAAAAACUAAACAGAUCACCUUUGACAUGCGCUGUAGAGUGGGAAUAAGAGAGGGCUUUUUAUUUUUUCAUUCAUAUGAAUAUUGAUGAAGAUGAUACUAAAUGCUAAAUGAAAUAUAUCUGCUCCAAAAGGCAUUUAUUCUGACUUGGAGAUGCAACAAAAACACAAUAAAUGGAAUGAAGUGAUACUCUUCAUCAAACAGAAGUGACUGUUAUGUCAACCAUUUUGUUAAAUCCUAGACAGAAAACAAAAAAAAUCAUGACGAAAAGAUACUUGCUUAUUAAUUGGCUUGGAAAGUAGAAUAUAGGAGAAAGGUUACUGUUUAUUUUUUUUUCAUGUAUUCAUUCAUUCUACAAAUAUAUUUGGGUGCCAAUAGGUACUUGGUAUAAGGUUUUUGGCCCCAGAGACAUGGGAAAAAAAAUGCAUGUACCUUCCCAGAGAAUGCCAAGUACUUUCGUUUUGGCUUGUUUUCUUGUUAGGGGCAUGGCUUAGUCCCUAAAUAACAUUGUGUGGUUUAAUUCCUACUCUGUAUCUCUUCUACCACUCUGGCCACUACGAUAAGCAGGUAGCUGGGUUUUGUAGUGAGCUUGCUCCUUAAGUUGCGGGAACUCUCCUUAUAAUAGACACUUCGUUUUCCUAGUCCAUCCCUCAUGAAAAAUGACUGACCACUGCUGGGCAGCAGGAGGGAUGAUGACCAACUAAUUCCCAAACCCUAGUCUCAUUGGUACCAGCCUUGGGGAACCACCCACACUUGAGCCACAAUUGGUUUUGAAGUGCAUUUACAAGGUUUGUCUAUUUUCAGUUCUUUACUUUUUACGUGCUGACACAUACAUACACUGCCUAAAUAGAUCUCUUUCAGAAACAAUCCUCAGAUAACGCAUAGCAAAAUGGAGAUGGAGACAUGAUUUCUCAUGCAACAGCUUCUCAAAUUAUACCUUAGAAAUGUUCUCCUUUUAUCAUCAAAUCUGCUCAAGAAGGGCUUCUUAUAGUAGAAUAAUAUCAGUGGAUGAAAACAGCUUAACAUUUUACCGUGCUUAAGUUUUAAGAAUAAAAUAAAAAUUGGAAAUAAUUGGCCAAAAUUGAAAGGAAAAUUUUUUUAAAAAAUUUCUCUAAAUGUAGGCCUGGCUGGGCUUUGACCUUUUCCAUUUUUAAAUCACUCACAGAGGGUGGGACAGGAGGAAGAGUGAAGGAAAA